CAGAGACGUGACCGAACUGCCGAAACGUCUGGUCAAAUUAAAUGUCUUUUUAAAUUAUUAUGACAGUUUAUUUUUAGGACAAGAAAAAACGUUUAUUUUUAGGACGCGUGUUUCUAUUAAUAGAUUGUAAUUUAAAAACUAUCAAAGACGUGGAAGAACUGCCGAAAAGUGUGGUCACUAAUGUCACUCCGGUUUUAAUUAUAGAAAUAAAUUAGCUAGUGACCACAAAGCCAAAGCCAUUACUCUUAGCCCAAUGUAAUCAAUAUGCAUUGCUCGUUAUAGGACUGCAUUUUGCUGACUAAAAUUAGACUAUAAUAUUUUUUGUGUGUGGAAAUACCAACAUAAAUUAAAAAAGAAAGAAAGAACUUAAAAUCAGAAAGAAAGAAAGAAAAGAAAGAAAGAAAAGAACUUAAAAAGAAGAACUACAAAGAACUUAAAAUCAGAC
Non-coding RNA from Paramuricea clavata, 445 nucleotides. Lineage: Eukaryota; Metazoa; Cnidaria; Anthozoa; Malacalcyonacea; Plexauridae. The record is from the annotation of a GenBank genome assembly.